RNAcentral lists this ribosomal RNA (474 nucleotides) under uncultured organism. RNAcentral's name for it is "partial 16S ribosomal RNA". It matches the Rfam family "Bacterial small subunit ribosomal RNA", at positions 334 to 799 of the family's 1533-position model. The record is from RNAcentral.
CACUCCUACGGGAGGCAGCAGUGGGGAAUUUUGGACAAUGGGCGAAAGCCUGAUCCAGCAAUGCCGCGUGAGUGAAGAAGGCCUUCGGGUUGUAAAGCUCUUUUGUCAGGGAAGAAACGGUGAAAGCUAAUAUCUUUUGCUAAUGACGGUACCUGAAGAAUAAGCACCGGCUAACUACGUGCCAGCAGCCGCGGUAAUACGUAGGGUGCAAGCGUUAAUCGGAAUUACUGGGCGUAAAGCGUGCGCAGGCGGUUUUGUAAGUCUGAUGUGAAAUCCCCGGGCUCAACCUGGGAAUUGCAUUGGAGACUGCAAGGCUAGAAUCUGGCAGAGGGGGGUAGAAUUCCACGUGUAGCAGUGAAAUGCGUAGAUAUGUGGAGGAACACCGAUGGCGAAGGCAGCCCCCUGGGUCAAGAUUGACGCUCAUGCACGAAAGCGUGGGGAGCAAACAGGAUUAGAAACCCUAGUAGUCCCAUG